This 435-nucleotide ribosomal RNA is filed under the name uncultured bacterium. Its description in RNAcentral is "partial 16S ribosomal RNA". It matches the Rfam family "Bacterial small subunit ribosomal RNA", at positions 28 to 507 of the family's 1533-position model. The record is from RNAcentral.
GAUGAACGCUGGCGGUAUGCUUAACACAUGCAAGUCGAACGGACUCUUCGGAGUUAGUGGCGGACGGGUGAGUAACGCGUGAGAAUCUGGCUUUGGGUUCGGGACAACCACUGGAAACGGUGGCUAAUACCGGAUGUGCCGAGAGGUAAAAGAGAAAUUGCCUGAAGAUGAGCUCGCGUCUGAUUAGCUAGUUGGUGAGGUAAAGGCUCACCAAGGCAGCGAUCAGUAGCUGGUCUGAGAGGAUGACCAGCCACACUGGGACUGAGACACGGCCCAGACUCCUACGGGAGGCAGCAGUGGGGAAUUUUCCGCAAUGGGCGAAAGCCUGACGGAGCAAUACCGCGUGAGGGAAGAAGGCUCUUGGGUUGUAAACCUCUUUUCUUAGGGAAGAACAAAAUGACGGUACCUAAGGAAUCAGCAUCGGUUAACUCCGUG